AGAGUGGCGCAGGGGUGAGUAACGCGUGGGGACCUACCUCUGACUGGGGGAUAGGGGUUGGAAGGGACCGCUAGGCCGCAAACGCCCUUCUGGGGAAAGAUUUAUCGCGGGAACAUGGACCCGCGUUGGAUUGGAUGAUUGGUGAGGUAACGGCUCACCUGGUGGGCGAUCCAUAGCUGGUUGGAAAGAAUGAUCACCCACACUGGGACUGAAACACGGCCCUCACUCCUACGGGAGGCACCAGUGGGGAAUAUUGGACAAUGGGGGCAACCCUGAUCCAACGAUGCCGCGUGAGUGAAGAAGGCCUUCGGGUUGUAAAGCUCUUUCUCAUGCGAAGAUGAUGACGGUAACAUCAGAAAAACCCCCGGCUAAUUUCCUGCCAGCAGCCGCGGUAAUACCAAAGGGGCUACCGUUGUUCUGAUUUACUGGGCGUAAAGGGCACGCAGGGGGUCUUGCCAGUCUCGGGUGAAAGCCCGGGGCUCAACCCCGGAACUGCCUCUGAUACUGCAUGACUAAACACUAGGAGAGGGUGGUGGAAUUCCCUGUGUACUGGUGAAAUUCGUAGAUGUUGGGAGGAACACCAAUUUCCUGUGCGGCCACCUGGACUAGAUCUGACGCUCAGGUGCGAAAGCGUGGGGAGCAAACAGGAUUAGAUACCCUGGUAGUCCACGCCAUAGACGAUGAGUGCUACUUGUCGGGACUUCGUGGUCGUUGACGCAGCUAACGAUGUAAGCACUCCGCCUGGAGAGUACAGUCGCAAGAGUAACACUCAAAGGAAUUGACUGGGGCCCUCACAAGCGGUGGAGCAUGUG
RNAcentral lists this ribosomal RNA (812 nucleotides) under Thalassospira povalilytica. Its description in RNAcentral is "bacterial SSU rRNA". It matches the Rfam family "Bacterial small subunit ribosomal RNA", at positions 92 to 943 of the family's 1533-position model. Lineage: Bacteria; Pseudomonadati; Pseudomonadota; Alphaproteobacteria; Rhodospirillales; Thalassospiraceae. The record is from RNAcentral.